GUUUAAAUAGCUUAAUCUAAAGCAUGGCACUGAAAAUGCUAAGACGUACCCUAAAAAGUUCUUUAAACA
RNAcentral lists this transfer RNA (69 nucleotides) under Hyperolius marmoratus (marbled rush frog). RNAcentral's name for it is "tRNA-Phe". It matches the Rfam family "tRNA". Rfam says of the family: Transfer RNA (tRNA) molecules are approximately 80 nucleotides in length. Their secondary structure includes four short double-helical elements and three loops (D, anti-codon, and T loops). The record is from RNAcentral. Lineage: Eukaryota; Metazoa; Chordata; Amphibia; Anura; Hyperoliidae.